UACAGAGGGUGCAAGCGUUAAUCGGAUUUACUGGGCGUAAAGGGCGCGUAGGCGGUUAAAUGAGUGUGAUGUGAAAGCCCCGGGCUUAACCUGGGAAGUGCAUCGCAAACGAUUUAACUGGAGUAGAUGAGAGGGUGGCGGAAUUUCCGGUGUAGCGGUGAAAUGCGUAGAGAUCGGAAGGAACGUCAAUGGCGAAGGCAGCCACCUGGCAUCAUACUGACGCUGAGGCGCGAAAGCGUGGGGAGCAAACAGG
RNAcentral lists this ribosomal RNA (253 nucleotides) under uncultured prokaryote. Its description in RNAcentral is "partial 16S ribosomal RNA". It matches the Rfam family "Bacterial small subunit ribosomal RNA", at positions 524 to 776 of the family's 1533-position model. The record is from RNAcentral.